AGAGGUCCUGACUUGCGAGAGGUCACAGUGAGCAGCAGAGCUAGCCCCAGACAAGACACCCAGCUGUCUAGGAAGGGCACCAAAGGUCUUGCAGUUGGCCACAUCCUUCCCAAGGCUGGUCCCCACUCAGAGGAGGAGAGAGAAGAGGAACAGUUUCGAGCACUGCUCCUUUCUAAGCCAGGCCCAGGGCUAAGUGCAGCUCAUAGGAUCACAGGAGCUAGAGAUGGCUAUCGUCUUGGAAGCCAUGAAGUCCAACCCUCUCAUAGAUUUCUAGGGGAUAAAGUGAGAUCUGGCUAUCAGAACAGGAGUUACAAAAGGGAUGAACUGGAAACUCAAAGAAGAAAGGGCUUUACACCUGUAGAAACCAAGAAGGUGUUAACAGCAACAGUUCCCACCAGAACUGGAGGCUCAAAAGUGCAUUGACUGAGGGCUCUAUCUGUUGUAUCAAUGGAAAAAAUGCUGAAUUUAGACCUUAAAGACUUGUCUUUUAAUCCUGGCUCCAACACUUACUAGCUGCAACAUCCUACCUCAACAGUUGCUGUGAGGAUGCAAUGAGAUACUUGUCAAUCACCUAGCAGAGCAGAUGACGCAUGGUGAGGAAACUGAGGCCCAGAAAAGACCACAUCCUCUUUCAAGAAGCCCCAGCCCCAGUGGCCUAGAAGAGGAUACGCAACGGCCUUAUCCACGGAGAAUGGCUGUUGGGAUGUUCGGAUCAGGAAGGCCAAGCAGGCAGAAAGCAGGGCUCCCGUGUAGAGGCAGAGCGAGACCACCAGCAGCAUGAAGCAUCGGAAGUUGCGUUGGCCAAUGCAGUUAUUGACCCACUUGCAAUGGUGAUCAAAAUCCUGGGAGGAGUAGGAUGAAGUGGGUCUGGAGGUUCAACUAUGGAAUCCCUAAGCCUCAAACUGGUCUCCCUUUCCUUACCCUUAACUUUCCACCCAUUUUUAAACCCCUACCUUUGGACUCACUUUUUCUCCCCCCAUUCACACACAGGAAGAAACUGAGAGGCCAAUUAGCCUGCAAAUUUUGUCCCUUGGCCUGAUAAGCUAGGCGUUAUGAGUUCAUCCUUUCAGAGAGGCAGCCUGGGGCCAUGAAAAGAGAGUCAGACCAGAAAUCUGGAGACCUGGGCUCUGACUUAAGCUCUCUCACCAAGAAGGUAUGUGACUCUGGGCAAAACAUAUCACCUCUCAGAGGUUUUGAUUUCCCCAACUGUAAAAUGAGGAUGCUAAUUAUACCUUCCCUGCCUAUCUAAUAGAGUUGGUAGGAGGCUCAAAUGAGAAAAUAUAAUACCUAGCAAUUGUAUAGAACUUUAAGACUUGAAAGGGCUUUCUAUACUUCAUCUCAUUAGAACAUGAAUGAAAAGCCAUUUGAUAAAAAGUGCUCUGCACGAGUUUUAGAUUAUUGUUCUAAGAAAGUCUCCUGGCCUGGAAACCCAGGCUUUGUUUCCCAAAGACUUGCGUCAGCAAGAGACAAGAGCUUCUUGCUGGGCCCAGCAUUGCCUUGGCCCAUUCCCUGCCCCCAUCCCACCCCUACGUGAACUCCCGCAAGCACAUCCGCUCCUACGUGAUCUUUUUGGUUGAGACUGAUAAUGUCAGCUUUCUCUCCACCCCAAAGAGAUAUAAGUGUGUUUGUGUAAAGAAAGAAAGAAUCCCAAGCCAGGGGUUCUUAAUGUAGGGUCUGUAAUGUUUGGGUAGAUUUUAUGGGGUUUGUGAACUUCAGCGGGAUAAAAAUUUUUGUUCA
Non-coding RNA from Phascolarctos cinereus (koala), 1737 nucleotides. Lineage: Eukaryota; Metazoa; Chordata; Mammalia; Diprotodontia; Phascolarctidae. The record is from RefSeq and is a predicted model, not a curated record.